CCGGAUAUCGUCUAGUUUGGUAAGGCGCCUGCUUUGGGAGCAGGAUAUCGGGAGUUCAAAUCUCUCUAUCCGGAC
RNAcentral lists this transfer RNA (75 nucleotides) under Streptomyces phage BRock. RNAcentral describes it as "tRNA-Pro". It matches the Rfam family "tRNA". From Rfam's summary of the family: Transfer RNA (tRNA) molecules are approximately 80 nucleotides in length. Their secondary structure includes four short double-helical elements and three loops (D, anti-codon, and T loops). The record is from RNAcentral. Lineage: Duplodnaviria; Heunggongvirae; Uroviricota; Caudoviricetes.